UACGUAGGGAGCGAGCGUUGUCCGGAAUUACUGGGUGUAAAGGGUGCGUAGGCGGGUCAGCAAGUCAGGCGUGAAAUACCGGGGCUCAACUCCGGGGCUGCGCUUGAAACUGUUGGUCUUGAGUGAAGUAGAGGCAGGCGGUAUUCCUAGUGUAGCGGUGAAAUGCGUAGAUAUUAGGAGGAACACCAGUGGCGAAGGCGGCCUGCUGGGCUUUAACUGACGCUGAUGCACGAAAGCAUGGGGAGCAAACAGG
Molecule: ribosomal RNA, 253 nt
Filed under: uncultured bacterium
Lineage: Bacteria
Description: partial 16S ribosomal RNA
Rfam family: Bacterial small subunit ribosomal RNA
Source: RNAcentral